RNAcentral lists this ribosomal RNA (363 nucleotides) under Clostridioides difficile. RNAcentral's name for it is "bacterial LSU rRNA". It matches the Rfam family "Bacterial large subunit ribosomal RNA", at positions 1084 to 1454 of the family's 2925-position model. The record is from RNAcentral. Lineage: Bacteria; Bacillati; Bacillota; Clostridia; Peptostreptococcales; Peptostreptococcaceae.
CACAGACAACCAGGAUGUUGGCUUAGAAGCAGCCACUCAUUCAAAGAGUGCGUAAUAGCUCACUGGUCGAGUGAUCCUGCGCCGAAGAUUUCCGGGGCUAAAACUUACUACCGAAGCUACGGCAUCAGUAAUGAUGGGUAGGGGAGCUUCCCAUACGGGUUGAAGCAUGACCGUAAGGACAUGUGGACAGUAUGGGAGGGAGAAUGUUGGCAUGAGUAGCGAGAUGUGGGUGAGAAUCCCACAGGCCGUAAACCCAAGGUUUCCAGGGGAAGGUUCGUCCGCCCUGGGUUAGUCGGGACCUAAGCUGAGGCCGAAAGGCGUAGGUGAUGGACAACAGGUUGAUAUUCCUGUACUACCGAUAAC